This 498-nucleotide ribosomal RNA is filed under the name uncultured Sphingobacteriales bacterium. RNAcentral's name for it is "bacterial SSU rRNA". It matches the Rfam family "Bacterial small subunit ribosomal RNA", at positions 887 to 1382 of the family's 1533-position model. Lineage: Bacteria; Pseudomonadati; Bacteroidota; Sphingobacteriia; Sphingobacteriales. The record is from RNAcentral.
CGCCAGCCCGCUCAGAAACUCAAAGGAAUUGACGGGGGCCCGCACAAGCGGUGGAGCAUGUGGUUUAAUUCGAUGAUACGCGAGGAACCUUACCUGGGCUCAAAUGUAUGUUGACGUAUUCUGAAAGGGAUACUUCUUCGGACAAUAUACAAGGUGCUGCAUGGUUGUCGUCAGCUCGUGCCGUGAGGUGUCGGGUUAAGUCCCAUAACGAGCGCAACCCCUAUCAUUAGUUGCCAUCAGGUCAAGCUGGGGACUCUAAUGAAACUGCCUACGCAAGUAGUGAGGAAGGUGGGGAUGACGUCAAAUCAGCACGGCCCUUACGUCCAGGGCUACACACGUGCUACAAUGGCCGGUACAAAGGGCAGCUACCUGGUGACAGGAUGCUAAUCUCAAAAGCCGGUCUCAGUUCGGAUCGGAGUCUGCAACCCGACUCCGUGAAGCUGGAAUCGUUAGUAAUCGCGCAUCAGCCAUGGCGCGGUGAAUACGUUCCCGGGCCUU